AUCACUUUCAUCUACUUCAAUUCCACCAUCUUUGUCAUCAUCCAUUUGCUUAUGGAUCAUGCGAAGAGCUUCCAGGCUGAACCGGUCCUCCUCAGUAAAGCACGGUGGGCUGAGAGAACUGCAGGGAUCUGUCACAACCGCCGCGCUGUCCGCCGCAGAGGAAGACGAGGAAGAGGCGGUGGUGCUUCCUCGCGCUCCCCGCCGCCCGCCGGGCACGUCCGCAGCCUCCAGCUCGCAUUCCGCAGCGGCGGCGCCGACCAGCAGCAGCCCCAGCAGAAGCAGGCAGCCCGGCGCCGCGGGGACGCCGCGGGGCGCUCGGAGCCCGCUCAUCGCUAUACCGCUGCGAGAGGCGCAGGGGGAGGGAGGGAGGAAGGAAGGAAGGAAAGGGCUGGAGCCGCUCCGCUACCCGCGCCGCAGUCGCCGCCGCACCGCUCGCCGG
This 439-nucleotide long non-coding RNA is filed under the name Gallus gallus (chicken). The record is from RNAcentral. Lineage: Eukaryota; Metazoa; Chordata; Aves; Galliformes; Phasianidae.